CGGCAAUGGAGGAAACUCUGACCGAGCAACGCCGCGUGAACGAUGAGUAUUUCGGUAUGUAAAGUUCUUUUAUUGAAGAAGAAAAAAUAGUGGAAAAACUAUCUGACGUUAUUCAAUGAAUAAGCCCCGGCUAACUAUGUGCCAGCAGCCGCGGUAAGACAUAGGGGGCGAGCGUUAUCCGGAAUUAUUGGGCGUAAAGGGUGCGUAGGCGGUUAGGAAAGUCUAUAAUUUAAUUUCAGUGCUUAACGCUGUCUUGUUAUAGAAACUACCUUGACUAGAGUUAGAUAGAGGCAAGCGGAAUUCCAUGUGUAGCGGUAAAAUGUGUAAAUAUAUGGAGGAACACCAGAAGCGUAGGCGGCUUGCUGGGUCUUGACUGACGCUGAGGCACGAAAGCGUGGGUAGCAAACAGGAUUAGAUACCCUGGUAGUCCACGCCGUAAACGAUGAGUACUAAGUGUCGGGAUAAAACUCGGUACUGAAGUUAACACAUUAAGUACUCCGCCUGAGUAGUACGUACGCAAGUAUGAAACUUAAAGGAAUUGACGGGACUCCGCACAAGCGGCGGAUCAUGUUGUUUAAUUCGAAGAUACACGAAAAAUCUUACCAGGUCUUGACAUGCUCUGCAAAGCUAUAGAAAUAUAGUGGAGGUUAUCAGGGACACAGGUGGUGCAUGGUUGUCGUCAGUUUGUGUCGUGAGAUGUUAGGUUAAGUCCUAAAACGAGCGCAACCCUUGUCGUUAGUUACCAGCACGUAAUGGUGGGCACUUU
RNAcentral lists this ribosomal RNA (766 nucleotides) under Candidatus Phytoplasma fraxini. Its description in RNAcentral is "bacterial SSU rRNA". It matches the Rfam family "Bacterial small subunit ribosomal RNA", at positions 366 to 1141 of the family's 1533-position model. Lineage: Bacteria; Bacillati; Mycoplasmatota; Mollicutes; Acholeplasmatales; Acholeplasmataceae. The record is from RNAcentral.